This 716-nucleotide ribosomal RNA is filed under the name uncultured bacterium. RNAcentral describes it as "bacterial SSU rRNA". It matches the Rfam family "Bacterial small subunit ribosomal RNA", at positions 114 to 824 of the family's 1533-position model. The record is from RNAcentral.
CACGUAUGCGACCUGCCCCCCGCAGGGGGAUAACCGGGAGAAAUCCCGACUAAUACCGCGUAACGCCGCGGGGCUGCAUGGCCCCGCGGCCAAAGGAAGCGAUUCCGGCGGGGGAUGGGCAUGCGGCGCAUUAGCUAGUCGGCGGGGUAACGGCCCACCGAGGCGACGAUGCGUAGGGGUUCUGAGAGGAAGGUCCCCCACACUGGUACUGAGACACGGACCAGACUCCUACGGGAGGCAGCAGUGAGGAAUAUUGGUCAAUGGGCGGGAGCCUGAACCAGCCAAGUCGCGUGAGGGAAGACGGUCCUACGGAUUGUAAACCUCUUUUGCCGGGGAGCAACGGGGUCCUUGCGAGGGCCCAAUGAGAGUACCCGGAGAAAAAGCAUCGGCUAACUCCGUGCCAGCAGCCGCGGUAAUACGGAGGAUGCGAGCGUUAUCCGGAUUUAUUGGGUUUAAAGGGUGCGUAGGCGGGCUGUUAAGUCAGCGGUCAAAUGUCGGGGCUCAACCCCGGCCUGCCGUUGAAACUGGCGGCCUCGAGUGGGCGAGAAGUAUGCGGAAUGCGUGGUGUAGCGGUGAAAUGCAUAGAUAUCACGCAGAACUCCGAUUGCGAAGGCAGCAUACCGGCGCCCGACUGACGCUGAGGCACGAAAGCGUGGGUAUCGAACAGGAUUAGAUACCCUGGUAGUCCACGCAGUAAACGAUGAAUGCUAGCUGUC